AGGAGGAGGAAAGAAGGGCGAAGGGCUGUAUGGUCGCACACUCACGCAGUUGUCUCCAUCAGCCUCCAGCCACGAACAGGUCUUGCUCCUGCUCCUCAUCGUGAAAAGUGCAUAAAGUAAAUCAAGUACCAUGCGUCGUUCCGUGUGCAUCGCAGCGAUCCUUGUAGCCUUGUAUGCCUUCACUGUCGCCCACCCUGCUGACAGUCCUCUUGUCAGGCAGAAGAGGCAAGGAGGAUUGCUGGACGUUUUCAGCGGGUUUGGCUCACAGGUGCAACAGGCAGCCAGCCAGUUCCCUAGCCAAGUGCAACAAGCAGCGAGCGAGUUCCCCAACCGGGUGCAGGAAGCGGCCAACACAUUCCGGAAUUGGGCGAGCAACGCUGGACAGACAGUCUCCAGUGGGGCAUCGGCUGCUUUACAAAGGAUAAGGGGGACCUUCUCGCCAUCCUCUUCUUCAUCACCCUCCACUUCUAAUUCCGACUCCGAUUUUGUCUAAAUAUGUCAGUAUUUCGGUGCAUACUUCCAAACUCGUCUUACAUCCUUCGUCACGUAGAAGAGAACCAUUUCAGAUCUAGAAUGUCAGAACCCGUUUUCACCUGCGUAUAUCAAGUCUGUGAAUAAAGAGAACCUUCUUCCUUUUCUGUUUCGUGAAAAGGGAAGAAAUCGAAAUCCUGUACAUGUGCUUUCAUAUUCUCAAGUAAUAAAAAUUGUGAACUUUGCA
This is a long non-coding RNA of Ornithodoros turicata, 718 nucleotides long. RefSeq lists it as uncharacterized. Lineage: Eukaryota; Metazoa; Arthropoda; Arachnida; Ixodida; Argasidae. The record is from RefSeq and is a predicted model, not a curated record. The transcript has 3 exons.